CGCGAAUACUCCGCAAUGCGGGCAACAGCGACGGGGCCACGCCGAGUGCCGGGCGAAGAGCCCGGCUUUUGCCCGGUGUAAGGAGCCGGGCGAAUAAGCGGGGGGUAAGUCUGGGGUCAGCCGCCGCGGUAAUACCAUCCCCGCGCGUGGUGCGGGGGGUUACUGGGCUUAACGCGCCCGUAGCCGGCCCGGCCAGUCGCUGCUGAAAUCCCCGGGGCCCACCCGGGGGCCGUGCGCGCUCCUGCCGG
Molecule: ribosomal RNA, 248 nt
Filed under: uncultured archaeon
Lineage: Archaea
Description: partial 16S ribosomal RNA
Rfam family: Archaeal small subunit ribosomal RNA
Source: RNAcentral